CCUACGGGUGGCAGCAGUGAGGAAUAUUGGUCAAUGGUCGGGAGACUGAACCAGCCAAGCCGCGUGAGGGAGGAAGGUACAGAGUAUCGUAAACCUCUUUUGUCAGGGAACAAAGACUGGGACGCGUCCCCGGAUGAGUGUACCUGAAGAAAAAGCAUCGGCUAACUCCGUGCAAGAAGCCGCGGUAAUACGGAGGAUGCGAGCGUUAGCCGGAUUUUUUGGGUUUAAAGGGUGCGCAGGCGGUGUGUUAAGUCAGCGGUAAAAGCCCGGGGCACAACCCCGGCCCGCCGUUGAAACUGGCAGUCUCGAGUUGGAGAGAAGUAUGCGGAAUGCGCGGUGUAGCGGUGAAAUGCAUAGAUAUCGCGCAGAACUCCGAUUGCGAAGGCAGCAUGCCGGCUCCACACUGACGCUGAGGCACGAAAGCGUGGGUAUCGAACAGGAUUAGAUACCCGGGUAGUC
This 459-nucleotide ribosomal RNA is filed under the name uncultured bacterium. Its description in RNAcentral is "partial 16S ribosomal RNA". It matches the Rfam family "Bacterial small subunit ribosomal RNA", at positions 338 to 795 of the family's 1533-position model. The record is from RNAcentral.